Tachyglossus aculeatus (Australian echidna) is the source of this 138-nucleotide small nucleolar RNA. The record is from RefSeq and is a predicted model, not a curated record. NCBI's taxonomy places the organism in Eukaryota, Metazoa, Chordata, Mammalia, Monotremata, Tachyglossidae.
CCCCUCUCAGGAUAGCACCUGGAGAGUUUCCAGUACUCUACCAAUCUUGACUGUAGGAGGGAGAGUCAAGCGGAAAAAUACCCAUUCCAUUCCUAGCUUGGAUAGUGGCUAGCGAGUGGAAGGCAAUUGGCUACAAGU